CCGCAUGGUUCAAAAGUGAAAGACGGUCUUGCUGUCACUUAUAGAUGGAUCCGCGCUGCAUUAGCUAGUUGGUAAGGUAACGGCUUACCAAGGCAACGAUGCAUAGCCGACCUGAGAGGGUGAUCGGCCACACUGGAACUGAGACACGGUCCAGACUCCUACGGGAGGCAGCAGUAGGGAAUCUUCCGCAAUGGGCGAAAGCCUGACGGAGCAACGCCGCGUGAGUGAUGAAGGUCUUCGGAUCGUAAAACUCUGUUAUUAGGGAAGAACAUAUGUGUAAGUAACUGUGCACAUCUUGACGGUACCUAAUCAGAAAGCCACGGCUAACUACGUGCCAGCAGCCGCGGUAAUACGUAGGUGGCAAGCGUUAUCCGGAAUUAUUGGGCGUAAAGCGCGCGUAGGCGGUUUUUUAAGUCUGAUGUGAAAGCCCACGGCUCAACCGUGGAGGGUCAUUGGAAACUGGAAAACUUGAGUGCAGAAGAGGAAAGUGGAAUUCCAUGUGUAGCGGUGAAAUGCGCAGAGAUAUGGAGGAACACCAGUGGCGAAGGCGACUUUCUGGUCUGUAACUGACGCUGAUGUGCGAAAGCGUGGGGAUCAAACAGGAUUAGAUACCCUGGUAGUCCACGCCGUAAACGAUGAGUGCUAAGUGUUAGGGGGUUUCCGCCCCUUAGUGCUGCAGCUAACGCAUUAAGCACUCCGCCUGGGGAGUACGACCGCAAGGUUGAAACUCAAAGGAAUUGACGGGGACCCGCACAAGCGGUGGAGCAUGUGGUUUAAUUCGAAGCAACGCGAAGAACCUUACCAAAUCUUGACAUCCUUUGACAACUCUAGAGAUAGAGCUUUCCCCUUCGGGGGACAAAGUGACAGGUGGUGCAUGGUUGUCGUCAGCUCGUGUCGUGAGAUGUUGGGUUAAGUCCCGCAACGAGCGCAACCCUUAAGCUUAGUUGCCAUCAUUAAGUUGGGCACUCUAAGUUGACUGCCGGUGACAAACCGGAGGAAGGUGGGGAUGACGUCAAAUCAUCAUGCCCCUUAUGAUUUGGGCUACACACGUGCUACAAUGGACAAUACAAAGGGCAGCGAAACCGCGAGGUCAAGCAAAUCCCAUAAAGUUGUUCUCAGUUCGGAUUGUAGUCUGCAACUCGACUACAUGAAGCUGGAAUCGCUAGUAAUCGUAGAUCAGCAUGCUACGGUGAAUACGUUCCCGGGUCUUGUACACACCGCCCGUCACACCACGAGAGUUUGUAACACCCGAAGCCGGUGGAGUAACCUUUUAGGAGCUAGCCGUCGAAGGUGGGACAAAUGAUUGGGGUGAAGUCGUAACAAGGUAGCCGUAUCGGAAGGUGCGGCUGGAUCACCUCCUUU
This 1362-nucleotide ribosomal RNA is filed under the name Staphylococcus aureus. Its description in RNAcentral is "bacterial SSU rRNA". It matches the Rfam family "Bacterial small subunit ribosomal RNA", at positions 186 to 1533 of the family's 1533-position model. Lineage: Bacteria; Bacillati; Bacillota; Bacilli; Caryophanales; Staphylococcaceae. The record is from RNAcentral.